GCUUAGUGGUGGGGUGACUGCGUACCUUUUGUAUAAUGGGUCAGCGACUUAUAUUCUGUAGCAAGGUUAACCGAAUAGGGGAGCCGGAGGGAAACCGAGUCUUAAUUGGGCGUUAAGUUGCAGGGUAUAGACCCGAAACCCGGUGAUCUAGCCAUGGGCAGGUUGAAGGUUGGGUAACACUAACUGGAGGACCGAACCGACUAAUGUUGAAAAAUUAGCGGAUGACCUGUGGCUGGGGGUGAAAGGCCAAUCAAACCGGGAGAUAGCUGGUUCUCCCCGAAAGCUAUUUAGGUAGCGCCUCGUGAAUUCAUCUCCGGGGGUAGAGCACUGUUUCGGCUAGGGGGCCAUCCCGGCUUACCAACCCGAUGCAAACUGCGAAUACCGGAGAAUGUUAUCACGGGAGACACACGGCGGGUGCUAACGUCCGUCGUGAAGAGGGAAACAACCCAGACCGCCAGCUAAGGUCCCAAAGUCAUGGUUAAGUGGGAAACGAUGUGGGAAGGCCCAGACAGCCAGGAUGUUGGCUUAGAAGCAGCCAUCAUUUAAAGAAAGCGUAAUAGCUCACUGGUCGAGUCGGCCUGCGCGGAAGAUGUAACGGGGCUAAACCAU
RNAcentral lists this ribosomal RNA (609 nucleotides) under Salmonella enterica subsp. enterica. RNAcentral's name for it is "partial 23S ribosomal RNA". It matches the Rfam family "Bacterial large subunit ribosomal RNA", at positions 579 to 1190 of the family's 2925-position model. Lineage: Bacteria; Pseudomonadati; Pseudomonadota; Gammaproteobacteria; Enterobacterales; Enterobacteriaceae. The record is from RNAcentral.